Long non-coding RNA from Canis lupus familiaris (dog), 876 nucleotides. RefSeq lists it as uncharacterized. The transcript has 3 exons. NCBI's taxonomy places the organism in Eukaryota, Metazoa, Chordata, Mammalia, Carnivora, Canidae. The record is from RefSeq and is a predicted model, not a curated record.
UUCUCUCACUUGUGCUCGCUUCGGCAGCACAUACACUAAAAAAUUCUCUCACUUGCUAUAAAACAAGUAGGAAAGACAGUGGAACCUAAACAUGCUUCAGCCUGCGACGAAGUCUUACUCCAGCAACUAGGUCAACAAAACUCUAAAUACUUCCAGUGUCACAAAGUGUUACCUAUCACAACCGGAUUAUUAAAAUGUACUUUUUUUUUUUUAUAAAUCAAAGGACAAGAAGAAAUUAAAAUUGUAACAGUCAACAAAUGGAAGGCCAAGCACCCAGUGCCUACAAUCUGUACUAGAAGAAGGAGCGAUGCCACACAGUAAGUCAGUCUCAUCGUGCGGAAAAAAGAGGAAAACGGAUUUCAAGAAUGGUUUGUUCAGGUGUCAGAGUCUGACUCUUAAGGAAGCAACACCUUAAGAGCUAAGAGCACUGCCAAAGGGGUCAUCGAGGUCAGCACAGCGAACAGCGUAAUAAGUCAGCACCGUAUGUGAAGGUCCAGAGGCAGUGAAGAGUCAAGAGUUUCGCUGGAAGACAGAAGCAACAGUAGAUGGCAAUGGUAACACCAAAUGACAUUUUUAAGAAUUAAGACAAAUCAAACAGAAGACUUCGUGCUUAACUCUCAAGGCAACAGGAAAAGAAAAAAGGCAUGUGAGCAGAGUGCCACCAUCAGUCUUAAAAUUAAUAUACAGUGAUGGUCAGGAAAGAGAACAGGAACCUGGGAGAGGCCUAUUAGCCCACCGUCGGUCACUAAGAGAGCCUAAACACGGUGGCCUGGGGAGAUAAAGUAAAAGGAACCCACAAGAAAUGGGGUCAAAGAUAGGUGACUGCAAGACGAUGUACUAAAAUGGAAAUACUGGGAUGCCUGAGUGGCUCAGCGG